This 1035-nucleotide ribosomal RNA is filed under the name Vibrio tubiashii. Its description in RNAcentral is "bacterial SSU rRNA". It matches the Rfam family "Bacterial small subunit ribosomal RNA", at positions 407 to 1433 of the family's 1533-position model. The record is from RNAcentral. Lineage: Bacteria; Pseudomonadati; Pseudomonadota; Gammaproteobacteria; Vibrionales; Vibrionaceae.
GAAGAAGGCCUUUCGGGUUGUAAAGUACUUUCAGCAGUGAGGAAGGUGGUAGUGUUAAUAGCACUAUCAUUUGACGUUAGCUGCAGAAGAAGCACCGGCUAACUCCGUGCCAGCAGCCGCGGUAAUACGGAGGGUGCGAGCGUUAAUCGGAAUUACUGGGCGUAAAGCGCAUGCAGGUGGUUUGUUAAGUCAGAUGUGAAAGCCCGGGGCUCAACCUUGGAAUUGCAUUUGAAACUGGCAGACUAGAGUACUGUAGAGGGGGGUAGAAUUUCAGGUGUAGCGGUGAAAUGCGUAGAGAUCUGAAGGAAUACCGGUGGCGAAGGCGGCCCCCUGGACAGAUACUGACACUCAGAUGCGAAAGCGUGGGGAGCAAACAGGAUUAGAUACCCUGGUAGUCCACGCCGUAAACGAUGUCUACUUGGAGGUUGUGGCCUUGAGCCGUGGCUUUCGGAGCUAACGCGUUAAGUAGACCGCCUGGGGAGUACGGUCGCAAGAUUAAAACUCAAAUGAAUUGACGGGGGCCCGCACAAGCGGUGGAGCAUGUGGUUUAAUUCGAUGCAACGCGAAGAACCUUACCUACUCUUGACAUCCACAGAACUUUCCAGAGACGGUUUGGUGCCUUCGGGAACUGUGAGACAGGUGCUGCAUGGCUGUCGUCAGCUCGUGUUGUGAAAUGUUGGGUUAAGUCCCGCAACGAGCGCAACCCUUAUCCUUGUUUGCCAGCGAGUAAUGUCGGGAACUCCAGGGAGACUGCCGGUGAUAAACCGGAGGAAGGUGGGGACGACGUCAAGUCAUCAUGGCCCUUACGAGUAGGGCUACACACGUGCUACAAUGGCGCAUACAGAGGGCGGCCAACUUGCGAAAGUGAGCGAAUCCCAAAAAGUGCGUCGUAGUCCGGAUUGGAGUCUGCAACUCGACUCCAUGAAGUCGGAAUCGCUAGUAAUCGUAGAUCAGAAUGCUACGGUGAAUACGUUCCCGGGCCUUGUACACACCGCCCGUCACACCAUGGGAGUGGGCUGCAAAAGAAGUGGGUAG